CAGUGCUAUCGCUCCAGCUCCACACACCUGAUCUCGUCUGAUCUUGGAAGCUAAGCAAGAUUGGGCCUGAUUGGUGCUUGGAUGGGAGACCACCUAGGACUAUUAUAGUAGUCCUGC
This 117-nucleotide ribosomal RNA is filed under the name Sorex araneus (European shrew). The record is from RNAcentral. Lineage: Eukaryota; Metazoa; Chordata; Mammalia; Eulipotyphla; Soricidae.